Molecule: long non-coding RNA, 8480 nt
Filed under: Sus scrofa (pig)
Lineage: Eukaryota; Metazoa; Chordata; Mammalia; Artiodactyla; Suidae
Description: lncRNA (ENSSSCG00000054585.1)
Source: RNAcentral
UUCUUAAGUGAUCUGGUCCCCUCUUACCUCUCUGACCCCAUUGCUCUGCUCCAUCAUCCCAGGCUCCUCACGCUUCUGACAUACAAUAGGCAUAUUCCCAAAUUCUGUCUUCCAAGAUUUUGCACUUCUGUUUUCCCUGUCUGAGAUGCUCUUCCUCAAGGUAUCUUCAUUUUUAUCUCCCUCACUUUCUUCCUCUUUUUGCUAAAAUUUCAUUUUCUCAGGGGGAACUUCUCUGAUAAUCUUGUUUAUAUUUGUCAUCCUUGCCCCUACAUUCCAUAUCCCCUUCUGUGCUUAACUUUUUCUCCUUAGCAUUUUUCCAAUUGGAUCUAAUAUCUACUGCUGAUAUAACCUAUCUAUACAUAGAUAGGUUUCAGAAGACUGAAACCUCCUUGAGAAGGUAUUUAUUUAUUUGUUCAUUUCUAUAUAACCAGAGCCUGGACUAAUCCCUGGCUCAUAGUAAAAUGCCCAAUUACCUUUCAUUAAAGGAAGAAAUUGCUAAGACAUCUAUUGGCAGCCCCAUGUUGGCUUUAAGCGGUUUAUCAGUUCACCAAUGUUUUCCAUAAUACAGGAUUCUCAACUUUCCUUUUUCUUUCUCUCUCUCUCUCUCCCUUGUCAAAAUCAGCUCCUUUACAUGGCCUAAGCAAAGCAGUUUAGAGAUGGUUUGUGGUUCGAAGAUUCCUCUGGAUUCUCACCCUCAACUCCAAGUAGGUUUUUCUUCAAAGAAAAGAUCAUGCUCUCCCUAAGAAAAACAAAUCUUUUCUACUUUUUUGCAUAGUAUGAAACAUUAAAUAUAAUUAGCUAGUUAAGAAAGUUGAACCAAGUCAAACAAUAGUGAGAAGUAAGGAUUAUAUUAAUUUCCACAUUCCAGAUGAGGCCUCUAAAUACAUUUCUCUUUCUAAAAAAGUCUUUCUACACACAUGUUUUAGAAAAGCAAGGAAUAGCCCUUCACAAUAUUUUAUUUCCUGGGAAUAGCACAUUAAAUGAGAUCAUACUGAAUAACAUUAACCAUGAUACUUUAAAUAAAAUCACUAGUGGAAGAUAUUUCAACAGAGAAUUGAAACUCAUUCACAGAGACUAGACUAUGCAAAAAUAAUGUUAGAAUGAUUUGAGAGCAGAUAGGCAGCGUCUAAGUGGAUUUAACAAAUGGUAUUAAAUUGUGAGGUGUUGUUAAUAUCACACAAGCUAGAGACCCAAAGCAAAUGGAUUUUAGAGAACCAGAAUACAGAUAGGAAAUUUACAAUUCAACAUGGACAAAAUGCAGAUAAAACUGAGGGAUAAAAGUCAUACAAAUGGCAUCUAUUUAAAAAAUAGUUCAUAGAAUAUAUUAAUUCCAGGGGAGUCUUAAAAAUGAUAACAUUAUAGUGAAAUAGAAACGAAUUUUCAAUGAAAGCGCUCUGUAUGGUAAGAAAAAAAGGACAUUUCUGCCUAUCAAGAUUUCAAAACUAAAUGCCCAUUCAAUUUGUCUGAUGAAACAUGUCUCAUAGAAUAGCAUUCACAUCAAUUAAGAAAAAAGUGGAAAUAAUACAGAAAGUCUGUACUAAAAGAGAUUAUGAGUGCAUCAACUGCACAGAGGCUGGUGUGAGCUGCAUCCUCCUGACUGUGUGUGUUUUGCGCACAACACAGUCAUCCAUGGUGCUCUCCUGACUUGCUCUCUUCCGAGCCCCUAUUACUGGCUCUCCUCUGUUCUUCCAGUAGUGUUGGCUCAUUCCAGUCUCAAAACUUUCUACCUGCUCUUUUCUCUCUGCCAAGAAUGUGUUUCAUUUUUGUCCCUGCUUUUCUCUUUGCUUGGAGGGUUCUUUCCGUAAUAAUUCAAUGUACUUUUUCCAUGACACCUUUCUCAUCAUUCUGUCUAAAACUACAUUACGUCCUAUCCCUCUUCCUGAUUUAUUUUUCUCCUGAGUCCUUUUUAACAAUAUAACAUACUGUAUAUUUUAUCUUAUAAACUUUAGAAUGAAGCCUUCACUGAGAUAGAAAUUUUAGUCUGUUUUGUUCACUGAUAAGCAAUGAAUUGGCAUAUAAUAGUGUUUAGUUAAUAGCUGUGGAAUGAAUACAUUAAUCUUAUGAAGGUAAAUUUAGUCUGCGCUACUUGAUAAAUCAACACAGAAAGGGUUGAACUGACUGUUAGAAAUUCUGGGUCAUAGUUCCUGGUCUUUCACUUACUGGUGUUGCAGUGGACAAAACUAUUUUCCACAUUCGUGAAAUGAGGAUGAUACCCAGACUACCUCCAAGAUGUUAGGAGGAACAGAUGUAUCUGUAAAGAAGGUAGAUUACUGACACUAUUUAACCUACAUUUAAAUUAAAUAUCAGAUUAUAUCAUUGAUUUGCAUAUUUCUUACUUAUUAUCCUGCUGAGGAUACUUCAUAUAUUCCCAUCAAAAUUAUUCAUGGUCAGUAGAGGUUUUCUGGUAAGGUGACAUUUUUUUUCUAUCAGAGACCAUCUUCAAACAAGCUGGCAAACACAAUUCCUUAUAUAAGGGGGAGCCCUGGACCACAGUUCUUCCUGCAACCGUGGUUCUUUAACAGGUGGAUUUUGACUCCCAUUUGGCAAUACCUCCAAAUGUUUUUGCUCACCUUGGCUGGGAGGGAAGGGUGGUGGUGCAGUUGGCAUCUAGUGAGUAGAAGCCAGGAAUGCUGCUAAACAUCCCACACUGCACUUAAUGGUCUCCAACAACAAAUGAUUAUCCAGUCUAAAUUUCUCUUAAAAGUUUCUGGAACUAGAUAAUUAGCUACUUCCAUAAUCAUCUCCCUGGAUUUUUAUGAAUCACAUGCUGAGGUUCUCUGAUAGAAUAGCCUGGCAGUGGUAGUUUGGAAGCCUUAUGAGAAGCUGGAAUGUGUCAAGGAGUAUGUUGGUACUAGCAAGUAGAGAGACAAAAAAGAACAUUUUCAUGUAUAUUUAUUGAAAUGCAAGCUAAUAUAAUUUUUAAAAAUUAGUAAAUUUUAUCUUGUAUUAUGACUUUCAUACAGUGCAAGAAAAAUGUCACAUACUUUUGAUUUCUCAAGUCUUCUUCAAAGCCUAAAAUACAGAAAAUGUCAUGGUAUGUCAAUCUUUUAAAUGGGAAUUGUGGGACAAAACCGAGGUUUACUUUAUUAAACAUGAUUUUCAUAUUAAAAUUAUCAUUCUAGACUACUACAAAUGCAUUAUCUGAUGAUAUAUGAGUUAUAAUUAUUUCAGUGGCCUCAAUUCCAUUCUACUAGAAUAACAAUUAUUUCUAAAUGUCCUAAUAACAAACUAGAUUCGAUUUUGGACCAGAAUAAAUGUGGGAAGAAUGACAAAUUUAGAUGGAAAAUUCAGAGAAUCUGAAUUAUAUAAAUUGAUAUUUAUAUAUUAAACUGAAAACAACUGCAGGAACAAUGUACUCUGAGUAAACACUGUCACUUAGUAAUUCUGGGUAUGAAGAAGGCUUCUCUUCAUAGAAACCCAAACCGCAAGAUUUCCUAGUUCCAAAUUCUUUUCUUUUUCUUUUGUGGCUAAUGCCAAAUGAAGAAGUCCAAGGAAUGCAGAAAACUUCCUGAAUAGGUUUAUUUCUUUUUUAUUUUAAAGAAAUAUUUUUUUUAUGUAGUUACAUAUCAGAAAGAUCAGAAUAAAGAGCUUUAAAAAUGGAUUAUUAACAACAAAUGUGACUUUCAGCCUCUGAUUUCAAACAGAAGAUGCAGAUGAAUGAUAUCAAAACAGUACUAUUAAAUUCAAGACUAUAUUCUGUGGAUGUCUUUUGAAAGAUUGUUCUUUACAUAUCUUUUUAUAUGACUUCUAAAUGUGAUACUUUUCACACCACAAUACACACAAGCUUGAAUUUGCCUUCCUUCAUACUUAAAUAGAAAGUUCUUGUGUUUCACUAUUCAAUAUAAUAACAUGAGAAGGCAUUGUUCUUUCUUCAUCCCAUGUUUAGGAUAUAAAUAAUGAAUAUUUAAUUCAUGGCAGUACUCAAGAAUCUUGGGUUCAUUUAGAAAAGACUGAAUCUCAUACUGUAUUAAUAUCUGGUGAAUGUGCCUUAUCACAAUGUGUCUGCAUUUUUGUUGUUCGUUUCCUUGUGAUAAGAUUCCUGGGUAGAGCAAGUCUUCGGAAGUAAGCCCACAGGGCUGCCUGACAAGUUUAUUUUGGGAAGGAAAUAAUCAAUUUAGAGCUAUUACUGCAAGAGUCCUUAUCGAGCUCAUUUCCUCAUCUAAUGCUUCACAAGCUAAUAUUACAUGUUUAGUAGCAACUUCAAAGGAACAGAACUGUGCUUUGUAGGUUUUAUUAAUGAGAAAUUUCUCUGAGGGCACCAAAUGUUUGCCAUUAACAUCACUCCAAUCCAUGGACUUGCAAACACAGGUCAUAAAAGCUGUACCAAAAACCUGUGCUGCUGUAGCCCAGGACACUAUUAAUGCAGUUUUGUUAUUAAAUUACAGGGGCUGAGGGAGUAGUAUUGCGCCCAUAGUCUUGAUUUUUUGGUACUCCUUCUCUAUUACAGCUCAGUGUGUUGAAAAUGGUGAUUUAGUCUAAGAGCAAUAUAGUCAAAACAAUGUACUCAGAAUGUCUAGUCCACACCCAGGUAACAAAAGGAGAAUUGUUUUUUUCGUUUGUUUUGUUUUUGUUUGACACACUGAAAUGUAGGCUCUUACUCACACAGAGAAGGAAUUUAGUGUUCUACAGCAGGAUAGCAGAAGAGAAAACGUUUAGGCAUGGCAUGUAAGGCACCUGAAAGAAGGAAAGAAGAGAGAGAGAGACUUCAAGGAGAGAGACUUGAUUGUCCUGAAAAUUCUUAAUUAGAAACAUGAGUGAUUAUCUAUAUCUAUAUCUGCAUAUAAUAUCUAUAUCUGCCAAAUCAAGACAUCUUGGUGCCCAUUUCAAAGCACUGCAGUAUAACUGCUUUUUCACUCUAAAUUUGAGAAUAUUUUCCUUUGUGACAUAUUUGACUAGACUCUUAGAGCAAACUAAUUUUGUUGUCGGCCAACAGUAAACCCCAGUUGGACAGAAGGAGAUGACUGAAUAAAAUGUUAUCUUUAUUUGUCUUAUUUAAUUACCUACAUGAACACAAUUUCUUUUCUGUUUCGAACUACUACUAUUCUGUUCCUUUAGAACCACCUCGGGAGAAUUUUAUUUUCAAUCAUAUGCUGAUUAAACAAGAUCCAAAAAAGUCACAGAAGAGAAGUGCCCAUUCUCAGGGCCAUUUGGGCUGUGUGGAUACUCCCACUGCAAAUGAACUGCAGCUGCACAUGCUAGAACUUGUUCUAAUGGCCAGAGUGAGAAAACCAAAACAUCCCCUGGAAUUUGGCGAGCACUUUAGGAAAAAUAGGAUAAAAAUACGGAAAUUAUAGGAAAAUCAUUAGCAGUUGUUUGGUUAUUUUUCUGUGUCAAUAGACUUUUGUUUAAUAUUUUAGAUAUCUGAGCAGUACUGUAAGAGCCUUUGUUUAGUUUCCUUCACAUUAAAAAUAGCAAGUUGAGUAGCCAACUUUUCCGAGUAGGGUUAUAAAUUAGGAAAAGAAGAAAGAAGAAAAUGAUAUGGAACCUCUAAGUUAAAUAAACCCUCUUAUCCAAUUUAAAGUUCGUAAAGAGAAGAGAUACAUUAUACGGGAGACUUUUUUUUUUUUUGGUUUUACAGUUAGCUAUCAAAAUACCUCUAUAAUUAAUGCUUGCUUAGAACUCAAAACCUUAUUAAAAAAGGAAUAUUUUAGAGGGGAAUCUUUGUUCCAAUUAAAACAAAAAUUGAAAAACCCUAAAUAAAAUCUAUGACAGGAAAUUAAGGAGAGCAAAGUAUUUUUUUUUUUUAUAAAUUAUUAUUUUAAAUUUCCAUACAGUCCUUUGAAGGAGAUAUUUUAGAAUAGUUUUUCUGAAACUCAGAUGCCAUAAAACUCUGGUAUUUUAUGGACCAGGUCAAGUUAUUUUUACUGUAAAAAUUAAGUAAAGGGCAAUUGUUGAGUAGGGAGUAUCAAAAAUGAACUUAAGUGUUUUUUGAUUUUUCAACAACUUUUUUUUUCAUUGCCCUACACUCAAAUUAAACACAAUAUUUGAUUUACUACAGGCAUUCCUUUAGUUGAUUUAAGUUUAAUAAUUAUUUGGUUCAAUAAUUCCACAUUUUAUGGUUUUAUAAAUAGGCUCACAGCAUCCAGGUGCUCUUUCACCUGAAUGCAUCUAGCAAAAGAGUGCAUAUGCCCAUCUCUCAAGCCUAUCUAUUUUGUGGGCUCCAUUAUAUUUUAAUCUUACGGGGCUUACAAAGAAAUAAUAGCCUUAAAUCACAAACCCUCAAAUCCUUUAGAGAAAAGCAAAAAACAAUUUGAAAAAAACCACCACCCAAGAUCUCAGGUUUGAUCCUAAAUGUUCCCCAAUUCUUUCGAAGUUUUUGACAUGUAUUCGAGUUUACUUUAAAUCUUAGUUCGCCACUCAUGAGCUCUUCCUUUCUUAUAUUUUAAAAAACGCACCCAUUUUUAAAGGUGAAGUUAUUUUUGAGAAACUCUUUUCCUCCAAUUUUCUUAUUCCUUUUCUCAUCUUUUUCUCUGGUUUUAUCCCUGAAUCUUUCUUUUAGCGAUAGUAAAAUGCUUAUAACUCUUAUCCUAUCUCUUCACCAAAUGACAGAUUUAUACCCAUCUAGUGCUUCCAUGGGUGCUGGGUACAGAAGAGAUAAUACACAAUUUCCACCAACAAUGGAAAUAACAUAUAUAUUUUUUCAGAAGUGGAUAUGAAGGUCAUUUCCUAGAUUUGUAAAAUGCACCACAGGAGCUAUUAAGCUGCUAUAAAAAUGCUAUUUUUAAGAGAAAAAUAGCCAAAUAUUGCCAGUUUCCUCAGGCUCAUUAAUUAUGUCACUUAUCAGAGAUGAUAUACAGAUUUCCACUGUUUUUCACUUUAACAAAUUCAAAAAAACAUAAACAUCUAUUUUGCAACAAAUAUUCUUAGAACCUUUCCCAUCUAAGCUUCUUGAGAAAACAUGCUAAAUAUAAUUAACACUUUUACUUUAAUAAUGUUUAAUUCCCUGAUGCACCAUUCCACAAUUGCACAUGAUUUUUCUAAAAUUUCAGUUGCUUUCAGUCAUUCACCCAAAUGGAUGGAAAUUCAUAACACCACUUGCUGAUUUUAGCCAAAGUUUAGUACUAAAAACACCUGAGAGAAAAGAUAUAUAUAUAUUUUACAAUGAGAUAAUUGUGAAUGCUUUAGCAUCACAGAUUGGCCUGUCUGAUGAUGCCACAUUUCAGCAACUUAAUGAACAAAAUCCAGUUUUCUCUCAUGUGGUUCUGAUGAGUCACAGGUUCCUUUCUGCCUCUGGAUCAAAACCAUAUUUUGCCAAGAGUCAUAUUAUACCUUCUCUUAUUUGGUAGUAAAUUGCUUCCAGCAAUGUUCUUUUUCCUGAUAACACCUGUACCUAGCUGUUGAGGAAAUAGUUUACAAAACAAUACUUGAAAAAAGACUGUCUCUUUACUUGAAUGGAAGGAAUAUCUCAUCCAAAUUGGAAAGACACUGCUUAUAAAUCCAAACUUACCAACAAUCUCAUCUACAUAUUUAAUUUUUGAUAUAUUAAGGAUUAGUUACUACAGUGAAAAAUUUUUAUGUGCACAGCACAAUUAAAAUUUAGCCCAUGGCUCAAAAUAUCUUAUUUCCAUGUCAUUUAUCACAAUUUAAUCAUGAGUCCAUAUAUUUCCUACACAUGAAGGAAGAAAUAAUUUAAAAUAUUUUUAUAUUGGUAUCCAUAUUUGUAGUGCCAGAUUAUUAUGAAUAACAUCAUCUUUGAGAAUGAUAAAAGUAAUCUGUGAGAGAAUACCAAAUCAUCCAUCUAUCCAUCCAUCCAUCCAUCCAUCCAUCCACCCAUCAAUUGUCCUGUCUACCCAUCAUCCGUCCUCCAUUCUAAUAUUCUUUAUGUGGAGAUAUUUGAGACUAAGGAUUUGGACAGAACACAUCACAUUUUCUGCAGAGCUGAAGAAAAGGCAAGGAGGUUGAUAUUAGACUGGGAAAUGGAGUUUGGAAUAUAAUUCUACAUUGGUCUCUUGAAGGAUGUGGUCAUUAAAACUCAGGAAAGGGGAAACAGAAUAAAACACAUUUGUUGAAAUAAAGCCUACUUAAAAACGAGAAUGACUGCAAUUUUACUUUUACAAACAUGUGAAAUGCAUCACAAAGGCACUCUAUAAUUAUUUCACUCUGGAGAUAGCCAGCAUGCAACACAGAAGCCCUCUGACAUUUGUGUUUGCUUUGCUAGUAGGAAAUAAAACAUCAACAGCUGAGAGAAAAAGAAGAAAUUGUCAGAAGAGAGCAAAUGCCCAAAUCAAGUUCUAUAGAAUUAAAAAAAUACAUAAAAACAAGAAGUUUCUCGGAGUUCCUGUUGUGGCUCAGUGGUUAACAAAUCUGACUUGGAACCAUGAGAUUGUGGGUUCGAUCCCUGGCCUUGCUCAGUGGGUUAAGGAUCUGGUGUUGCCAUGAACUGUGGCAAAGGCGGCUCGGAUCCCGCAUUGCUGUGGCUCUGGUGGAGGCUGGCAGCUGCAGCUCUGAUUAGACCUCUAGCCUGGGAACCUCCAUAUGCC